RNAcentral lists this ribosomal RNA (406 nucleotides) under uncultured bacterium. RNAcentral describes it as "partial 16S ribosomal RNA". It matches the Rfam family "Bacterial small subunit ribosomal RNA", at positions 30 to 526 of the family's 1533-position model. The record is from RNAcentral.
AUUGAACGCUGGCGGCAGGCCUAACACAUGCAAGUCGAACGAGUGGCGGACGGGUGAGUAAUGUCUGGGAAACUGCCUGAUGGAGGGGGAUAAAUACUGGAAACGGUAGCUAAUACCGCAUACAAUCAGAUGUGCCCGAAUGGGAUUAGCUUGUUGGUGGGGUAACGGCUCACCAAGGCGACGAUCCCUAGCGGUUCUGAGAGGAUGACCAGCCACACGGGAACGGCGACACGGCCCAGACUCCUACGGGAGGCAGCAGUGGGGAAUAUUGCACAAUGGGCGCAAUCCUGAUGCAGCCAUGCCGCGUGUAUGAAGAAGGCCUUCGGGUUGUAAAGUACUUUCAGUGGGGAGGCGUUACCCGCAGAAGAAGCACCGGCUAACUCCGUGCCAGCAGCCGCGGUAAUUC